CCAACCUUGAAUACCCCUCAUCUCCCAAUUCUCUCUCAACCUCUCAGACACCCUAGCCUCCACCUUCAAUCACUACCUUAAAUCGACCAAAUCCAUGGCUUCCAAAGCCAUUGAUGGCCUGUAUCUACCUCAUGUGACCCCUACACACCUGAUUACCAUGGCUUCAAGGUCAGACCUUGAAGAAGCCUGGCCCAAAACUUAUUUGAUUCGAGUUCUUUGGCUGUCCCCAACCUUGCUCCGGCCAACCGUGGCUAUUCAAGCCUGGUCUUGACGUCCCCUGCUUAGAUCAUGACUUUCCAAGCCUUUCGCACUUUUUGGAAGUUCUUCUAAAACCCUAAACUUUCGAGGUUCUUCUGAUUCAUUUAGAUCCAUUGUAGAUCUCUGUUUCCCUUAAGCUUUUAAACACUUUUCCGAGAUUUCCUUCAAAACUCUGCUUUCAAAACCUUUAUCUUUUCUGAUUUAAGGUUUUGUUAAGUUAUUUCGCAUCUUUUUCUGAUUUUUAACAUGUUCUAUCGUGUUUCUUAUGUUGUACUUGUACUGCAUUUUUAUGUGUUUCCCCUUUACUGUGUCCCUAUGUCUUACUAGAAUUUGCAUGUCGAGAAUCUUAGUUUCUUUUGAGGUUUCUAAAUAUUUUCGUAAUAAUAUUUGCUUGAUUACUUGUCUUUUACCUCUACACUCGAUUGGCGACAAAAGCCCUAAGAUUUGGGGUUCAUUUGAGUUCUGAGGUUAUUUUCUAUGUGAUUUGCUUGAUCCUCAUCUCUAAAUUUGUUUGAUUUCAAAACCCUAAUUCUUUUGGACAUAUUUGAGCCUCUGAAAGCUGCUUCGUCUAUAUAAAGUUGCUCGGCUGUAUUCAAUGUCCUUACUUUGGUUUCUAUGUGUGAUUUGGUUUCUUGCAAUCUUUGAACUAAACUAUACUUUCUAGAAGGGUCUUUUACUUGACGCUUUAGCAUGAUUCUGAUACCCCCUCUUAUCCCUAUUAUUGAAUCGACCUAUGUGACUACCAUGUUUCAGUCUACAGACUUUGUAGUUAUUAUUGCUGUUUCUCUUUGCCAUGGUUUAACCUCGCCUGCCUAAUAUUUGUGCACUCUUUGUAUACGCUGAAUGUUCCUCUAAAAUGACCCUAGAUUUUGUACAAAUUUCAGACCUCUUUGUGUAAGCCUGAUUGAUUAUUUCCUUGUUUUCCCCAUUUGAUUUGAAAACUUUCUUUAGCCUUUGAUUCCUCCAUUUCUGACUUGGUUCAUUGGUAAUUUUGAAUCCCUGAUACCUUGAUUUACUAUGUACUAAUUGAUUUACUGUGUUUCUUACCUUAUUUGGCUAACCGUGUAUUUCAAAGAUUCUUUAUUAAUGUUUCCCUUAGUUAAACGCCUAUGUAUUUACCCCUAAUUCCCUACUUUACCCAGAUGUUUACUUGAUUUCUUUCCUUAAGUGAUUAGUGUCCAUUAUCGUUCGAGUUUAAACUCCUUAAUGAAAGGAAGUUCUUAUGUUAAUUGUUUGUAAUUGGUACAUAGUUCCAUAACUACUAUGAUUCUUCCCUUACUUCAACUUAUUUUCAAACUAUAAAUACCCGACCUUAUUUUUCACAAAAAAACACACAACUGAAUACGCUUCAGACUUCACACUUAUAAUUCUCACAACCUCUUCUGAAGUUUCUUGUCUGCACGUUGGCUUUCACAAGACUACUGCUUUCUUUUUCUGGUCUCUUUUAAAAACUGGUAUGUCUUGAUUCAAUUCCCAGCAUCAUCCCAAUGUGUUUAUUUACAGUCUUUGCGACUAUGUCUACUUUAUGCAGAAUUUGACAUUGAAAUGUCUAUGUGCUACUAUUUGGUUUAAUUUAUUGUAAACACUAGUCCCCUCCCAUCCCAUUUACCCUUUAUAUGUUUGUAAGUGGGGACUCAGGGCAUGGAAAAAAGAAUUGUUGCUCAUCAAUUGAGUUUUGACCCCUACGUAGGCUAAAGGGUGUGCCAGUAUGUUCCAUUGUUGGGUAUGCCCUUGCCUACUCCUUUCUUGUAUCCUGCUUGUUAUGAAUCCCCAUAUCCCCACUCCCUUAUAUAUGAUGAGUUAAGGUAUAGCCUGAAACCAUCCCAAUUAUUGUCCAAGGAUGAACCUGACCUUCAAUAGGUCCCAAAUCCCCAAUUUACAACUGACAAGCUGGUAAGGGGUGUUCCAGCACCCCAAAAAUGCUGGGCAUGACCACUAGCUUGCCAUUUCCCCUCUACUGCACUUGCACUUACUCCUAGCAUCUAAGUUCUGCCCCUUCCGAUGAGCCUUGCUUUGGGACCUUGAGUUCCCUCUAAACUUGAACAUUUGAGGGCUGGCCCUUCCACACUGCACUAUAAUCUAUUUCUGCAAUGAUAUUUGGGGUGUAAGCACUGCGUGGAGUUCUUGAAGCUCCUUGGAACUUUGACACAUCCCAAAUAAGAGAAAUGUUGAUACCAAUUUUUUCCUACGUAUUUUUGUGCCAAAAAUACUUUCCAAAUAGCUUGUGAAUGUAUAUGUAAGCAUGCACAAAAUGUUGGGUAUUUUUCUAUAAUUUUCAAGUAUUUUAAAACCAAUUUAUAACUUAUUUUGUAUUAUAAAAUCCAAUAUUUAG
Molecule: long non-coding RNA, 2590 nt
Filed under: Nicotiana benthamiana
Lineage: Eukaryota; Viridiplantae; Streptophyta; Magnoliopsida; Solanales; Solanaceae
Description: long non-coding RNA (NBEN_LNC025845)
Source: RNAcentral